UUUUUUUUUUUUUUUUUAAACACUAUAAUUUUUGCUAGUAAGUAUAAAGGGUAAGAGUAUUUUGGUACAUUUUCUGAUGGAAAUGUAAAUUAUCCCAAUCUUUUUGGGACACAAUCUAUCAACACCUACUAAAGUUUUUUCAAUCUGUAUAUUCCUCACCCCAGCAAUCCUAAUCCAGGGAAUCUAUUCCAUAGAAGUAAAACUAUCAUGGUCGUGAUAUGUGCACAGGCACAAUUACCAUAACAGUAAAAAUCUGCUAACGAAAUGAACGCCCAUCACAUUAACUUUGUCAUCAUACAGUAUACCCAGCAUUAAAAAGAAUGAAAUAAGAGCUAUAAGAUAGACGUGGAGGGAUUCAUAUGUUGUUGAUUGAGAAAAAUGCAGAGGAUGUAUAUAAUCCCAUGUAAAGCAAACCGACCCAUCAAAAAAUUAUUUUAUGUAAAAUUGUGCAUAAAAAUUAAGAAAUUUAAAAGAUAUAUACAUAUAUAUGUAUAUAUAUACUUGUAAGGUGCUCACAAUACACAUUACAUUUUAGAAAUUUCAGAAUAACUACAGAAAAAGACAAAACCCUGUAUGUAAUAUCUGUGUACUCAUAUUUGUGUGAAUAAGAAUAUAGAAAGAGAUAUCAGGCUGCUACAACGGAGUUGGGAGUGAAAUGGUAUGGUGAGAUAUUAGUUUUGCCAUUACACAUCUUUAUUUCAUUUAUUGCUCUUUUGUAUUGUUCUUUUAAUUAACUUAUUAAACGGAAGUAGUAUUAAUUUGCAUCACUCCUUUUUUUUGCUUUUUAAGGCCGCACUUGUGGCAUAUGGUGGUUCCCAGGCUACAGGUCAAAUCGGAGCUAUAGCCUCUGCCCUACACCAGAGCCACAGCAACGCCAGAUCUGAGCCGCAUCUGCGACCUACACCACAGCUCACGGGAAUGCUGGAUCCUUAACCCACUGAAUGAGGCCAGGGAUCGAACCUGCAACCUCAUGGUUUCUAGUCGGAUUCGUUUCCGGUGAGUCACAAGAGGAAAUCCCUGUCACUCUUUUAAUCUGAGAAACAUCAAAUCGCCUCCCCUCUUUUUGUUUUUCCUUAUACCUAUCACUAAUAUUCCAUGUAUUUUACUUGUAUUAUUUGUUGUUUCCCCCAGCUGUAAUGUCAGCUGUAUCAGGUAAAGGAUUUUGUCUGCUACAGCACUUAACACCAGCACUUAGAAUAGUCUAGCACAUAGCAGGCACUCAAUUAUUGAGGAAAGUAAUAUUUUAUGUAUAACUUCUUUAGGGCUUCUCCUGAUGUUCAUUUUAACCUUAUUUCUCCUAAAAAUCUGAUAUUCCAGAAGCUCUCAGGAGGGUGACAGAAUUUCAUGAUAAGAAGACUGAAUUCAGGAAGUGAAUAGUUAUUUCUUGAAUGCUUACUACCACCCGAGAUUUAGAGUGUUUUAUAUCUACUCUCUCAAGUCAAUCUAAGUGAGUAGAUCUAUAGUACCCAUUUCAUAGAUGAGAAACCAAUUCAGAUUAGCUUGUUUAAAGUCUCACAGACAACAAACGCUCUGUGCCCAGGCCAUAAUCCUGUUCUUUCCUCUGUGCUAUACUGAGUGUACAGAAAUUGUAUUUUAAUAAUUAAAAAAGAGAGACAAUAGUUCUUACAGAAUAUAUAGGUUUAAUAUUAUUUUGAGAUUUUUUAGUUGAAUAUUUUGUAGUCACGUAAUUCACUACUCUGUUGAUGAGUCUCUUAAUGAUUUAACAGUCCUUUGAUUGUUCGAUAUAAACACCCUGUCUCUAACUAGUUGACUAUUUUACUCCUGAAGCAAUUAAGCUGUUCAGCUCAAGCCUCAAGCCUCCUGGGCCCUCCUGGAGUGGUAGCAGCAAACCAAGAUAACGCAGAACUAUCCCUAGGAGAGGUAAUAAGCAUUUAGAUAAUUACCAUCAGAUCUUCAAGACAAAACUUCCCUAAGAACAAAAACAGCUCUAAGAACUUGGUCCAAGCAAGCUCUUUAACUCCAAAGCAAGCUCCCCAGAGGAAUGCCUUUCUCAACAAGCUUCUACUGGGACAAUCUUCCUUCCUCUUUGAAGAAGAAAAGCCAUUCCGGAGAAGCAGACCAUUUGAGGAUCAUAAGGAAAAAGAGUGGUGGACCUGGUCUGGGCCCAAGAUAGUCAAGGCAGGGUUUAGUUUCAGGUUAGAGAGUUCCCUGUCAAGGGAUCAGAGGUCAGUAAGUUGGUGUUCAGGAGGCUGGGAGGGCAGAGAGACAUCACAACAAGGCUUAGAGACACCACCUAGUCCCCCACAUGCUUUGCUCAGUUUCAAAGCGGACAAAAUGUAAUUGUUUAGAAAAGGAUGAGGCAUUCUAUUGUCACCUUCCAGGUGAGCCUAAAUUCCUCCCCAAGUAGGGUGUACACCUCAUUCUUAGCAUCAGAUCCACAAACCUAAACACAUUUGAGAGCAUCUAAGGACUGGCAUGGAUGCCUCCCCACCCCCUUGUCUUUGAUGAUUUGGAUAGUUUUAAAAUGUGUUCUCUGAUCAUUCAACCAGUAAGUAUUUAUUGAGUACUUUCCAUAUGGUAAGGCAUCAGGAGAGGUGUUAAUGGGAAUAUAUGAAAAACAAACAUGGUUCCUGCCUCAAGGAGCUUAUAGAGACAGAAGCAAACAAAUAACAAUUAACUCAUUUUUUUUUAGGCUACAAGUGAGCAAUACCUAAUAUGCAAAGUUUGGGUUGAAGAUAGGGUUAGAAUCAAGGCAUUCAUAAUAAAACUCAUCACUACCUGCUGCCCAUGCUUCAAAAAAAUCCACAAGAUUUUGAAAUAUAUCAUAUGUAAAUUAAACUUAUUAUUAUCUUCUUUACCAAUCUUUGUACUUCCAAAAUAAUUUCUAAAGACCACACAAAAUAAAAUGCGUCUAUCUGCAGAAGCAAGCUGUAUUAACUUGCAUUCAUCAAAGGCACAAAACUGCCAGGAUCCACAGCCUUCAAGUUCAAAAGUAAAAUUAUUUCUGCCUCGAGAAAGCAAUGAUGUUUCUAAAGAGAAAAAGGUCUGCUUGCAAGCUUCAUUUUUUAAAAACUGUAUCAUUAGAUGUAUAUUCCUAAGUAUCCUACAACAAUGAGAAAUAAGGAGCUUGUUGUCUUGCUUGUUUAAAAGAUUGGCCAAAGGAAUAAAAGUAAGUCUGAAUGUUUCAGAGUUGGGAGAAAGCCUCAUUUCUUUCUUUUUUUUUUUUUUUUUUUUUGUCUUUUUGCCAUUUCUUGGGCCGCUCCCUCAGCAUAUGGAGAUUCCCAGGCUAGGGGUCGAAUCGGAGCUGUAGCCACCGGCCUACGCCAGAGCCACAGCAACGUGGGAUCCGAGCCACGUCUGGGACCUACACUACAGCUCAUGGCAACGCCGGAUCAUUAACCCACUGAGCAAGGGCAGGGACCGAACCCGCGACCUCAUGGUUCCUAGUUGGAUUCGUUAACCACUGCGCCACGACGGGAACUCUGAAAGCCUCAUUUCUUUUGACCCUGACCUAUACAAGGAAAUUGAACAGGUACUACUUUAUUGAAAAACAAAGUUUCUCCUUAAAUGAACUGUCAAAUGGUAUUUUGGCUAAACAUGCACACUUCCAAAAUCUGUGAAUGACAAUUGGCAGAAUCUACCCUUAAUAGCUUUAAAGGGAUACUACUAACAUUAUUUACAUAAUACACAUACUCUAUUUUAAUGUUCCAUUCAUAUUUACAUGUAUCAAAGAGCACAAGGCUCCAUGGUUUACCUACAAGCUAUGUAUAAAAAUACUGCUUUUCCAGUUAGCAAUAUACUGAAAUAUUUACCACAUUUGAAAGAACUCUUCCAUGGCAUGUGAGUAUUUGUGGGGAGCAAGAGUCAGGAGUGUUAUCCAUAAAUGACUGUCAAAAGAUGAGACCAUGGAGUUCUUCUUUUUCUAUAAUAUACACUGAGUCAAUAAUCCCAUCAAUAGGAUAUUCUGAAAUAUGUGAUCUCCAAAUCUAUAGAAAAAGAUGUAAAUAUUUCUUAAAUGCUUCUAAAAACAUAGUCGAAAUCAUUCAAAACAGAACUCAUCCCAUAAAAAUGAUUCUCUGGUUUCACUGGUGGCCUAGCGGUUAAGGAUUCAGAGAUGUCACUGCUAUGGCUGGGGUUUGAUCCCUGGCCUGGGAACUUUUGUAUGUUGCGGG
This 4133-nucleotide long non-coding RNA is filed under the name Sus scrofa (pig). Its description in RNAcentral is "lncRNA (ENSSSCG00000056264.1)". Lineage: Eukaryota; Metazoa; Chordata; Mammalia; Artiodactyla; Suidae. The record is from RNAcentral.